RNAcentral lists this ribosomal RNA (2929 nucleotides) under Bacillus cereus. RNAcentral describes it as "bacterial LSU rRNA". It matches the Rfam family "Bacterial large subunit ribosomal RNA". The record is from RNAcentral. Lineage: Bacteria; Bacillati; Bacillota; Bacilli; Caryophanales; Bacillaceae.
UUUGGUUAAGUUAGAAAGGGCGCACGGUGGAUGCCUUGACACUAGGAGUCGAUGAAGGACGGGACUAACGCCGAUAUGCUUCGGGGAGCUGUAAGUAAGCUUUGAUCCGAAGAUUUCCGAAUGGGGAAACCCACUAUACGUAAUGGUAUGGUAUCCUUACCUGAAUACAUAGGGUAUGGAAGACAGACCCAGGGAACUGAAACAUCUAAGUACCUGGAGGAAGAGAAAGCAAAUGCGAUUUCCUGAGUAGCGGCGAGCGAAACGGAAUCUAGCCCAAACCAAGAGGCUUGCCUCUUGGGGUUGUAGGACAUUCUAUACGGAGUUACAAAGGAACGAGGUAGACGAAGCGACCUGGAAAGGUCCGUCGUAGAGGGUAACAACCCCGUAGUCGAAACUUCGUUCUCUCUUGAAUGUAUCCUGAGUACGGCGGAACACGUGAAAUUCCGUCGGAAUCUGGGAGGACCAUCUCCCAAGGCUAAAUACUCCCUAGUGAUCGAUAGUGAACCAGUACCGUGAGGGAAAGGUGAAAAGCACCCCGGAAGGGGAGUGAAAGAGAUCCUGAAACCGUGUGCCUACAAAUAGUCAGAGCCCGUUAAUGGGUGAUGGCGUGCCUUUUGUAGAAUGAACCGGCGAGUUACGAUCCCGUGCAAGGUUAAGUUGAAGAGACGGAGCCGCAGCGAAAGCGAGUCUGAAUAGGGCGUUUAGUACGUGGUCGUAGACCCGAAACCAGGUGAUCUACCCAUGUCCAGGGUGAAGUUCAGGUAACACUGAAUGGAGGCCCGAACCCACGCACGUUGAAAAGUGCGGGGAUGAGGUGUGGGUAGCGGAGAAAUUCCAAUCGAACCUGGAGAUAGCUGGUUCUCCCCGAAAUAGCUUUAGGGCUAGCCUUAAGUGUAAGAGUCUUGGAGGUAGAGCACUGAUUGAACUAGGGGUCCUCAUCGGAUUACCGAAUUCAGUCAAACUCCGAAUGCCAAUGACUUAUCCUUAGGAGUCAGACUGCGAGUGAUAAGAUCCGUAGUCAAGAGGGAAACAGCCCAGAUCGCCAGCUAAGGUCCCAAAGUGUGUAUUAAGUGGAAAAGGAUGUGGAGUUGCUUAGACAACUAGGAUGUUGGCUUAGAAGCAGCCACCAUUUAAAGAGUGCGUAAUAGCUCACUAGUCGAGUGACUCUGCGCCGAAAAUGUACCGGGGCUAAAUACACCACCGAAGCUGCGAAUUGAUACCAAUGGUAUCAGUGGUAGGGGAGCGUUCUAAGGACAGUGAAGUCAGACCGUAAGGACUGGUGGAGUGCUUAGAAGUGAGAAUGCCGGUAUGAGUAGCGAAAGACGGGUGAGAAUCCCGUCCACCGAAUGCCUAAGGUUUCCUGAGGAAGGCUCGUCCGCUCAGGGUUAGUCAGGACCUAAGCCGAGGCCGACAGGCGUAGGCGAUGGACAACAGGUUGAUAUUCCUGUACCACCUCUUUAUCGUUUGAGCAAUGGAGGGACGCAGAAGGAUAGAAGAAGCGUGCGAUUGGUUGUGCACGUCCAAGCAGUUAGGCUGAUAAGUAGGCAAAUCCGCUUAUCGUGAAGGCUGAGCUGUGAUGGGGAAGCUCCUUAUGGAGCGAAGUCUUUGAUUCCCCGCUGCCAAGAAAAGCUUCUAGCGAGAUAAAAGGUGCCUGUACCGCAAACCGACACAGGUAGGCGAGGAGAGAAUCCUAAGGUGUGCGAGAGAACUCUGGUUAAGGAACUCGGCAAAAUGACCCCGUAACUUCGGGAGAAGGGGUGCUUUCUUAACGGAAAGCCGCAGUGAAUAGGCCCAAGCGACUGUUUAGCAAAAACACAGGUCUCUGCGAAGCCGUAAGGCGAAGUAUAGGGGCUGACACCUGCCCGGUGCUGGAAGGUUAAGGAGAGGGGUUAGCGUAAGCGAAGCUCUGAACUGAAGCCCCAGUAAACGGCGGCCGUAACUAUAACGGUCCUAAGGUAGCGAAAUUCCUUGUCGGGUAAGUUCCGACCCGCACGAAAGGUGUAACGAUUUGGGCACUGUCUCAACCAGAGACUCGGUGAAAUUAUAGUACCUGUGAAGAUGCAGGUUACCCGCGACAGGACGGAAAGACCCCGUGGAGCUUUACUGUAGCCUGAUAUUGAAUUUUGGUACAGUUUGUACAGGAUAGGCGGGAGCCAUUGAAACCGGAGCGCUAGCUUCGGUGGAGGCGCUGGUGGGAUACCGCCCUGACUGUAUUGAAAUUCUAACCUACGGGUCUUAUCGACCCGGGAGACAGUGUCAGGUGGGCAGUUUGACUGGGGCGGUCGCCUCCUAAAGUGUAACGGAGGCGCCCAAAGGUUCCCUCAGAAUGGUUGGAAAUCAUUCGUAGAGUGCAAAGGCAUAAGGGAGCUUGACUGCGAGACCUACAAGUCGAGCAGGGACGAAAGUCGGGCUUAGUGAUCCGGUGGUUCCGCAUGGAAGGGCCAUCGCUCAACGGAUAAAAGCUACCCCGGGGAUAACAGGCUUAUCUCCCCCAAGAGUCCACAUCGACGGGGAGGUUUGGCACCUCGAUGUCGGCUCAUCGCAUCCUGGGGCUGUAGUCGGUCCCAAGGGUUGGGCUGUUCGCCCAUUAAAGCGGUACGCGAGCUGGGUUCAGAACGUCGUGAGACAGUUCGGUCCCUAUCCGUCGUGGGCGUAGGAAAUUUGAGAGGAGCUGUCCUUAGUACGAGAGGACCGGGAUGGACGCACCGCUGGUGUACCAGUUGUUCUGCCAAGGGCAUAGCUGGGUAGCUAUGUGCGGAAGGGAUAAGUGCUGAAAGCAUCUAAGCAUGAAGCCCCCCUCAAGAUGAGAUUUCCCAUAGCGUAAGCUAGUAAGAUCCCUGAAAGAUGAUCAGGUUGAUAGGUUCGAGGUGGAAGCAUGGUGACAUGUGGAGCUGACGAAUACUAAUAGAUCGAGGACUUAACCAUAUAA